This 460-nucleotide ribosomal RNA is filed under the name uncultured bacterium. RNAcentral describes it as "partial 16S ribosomal RNA". It matches the Rfam family "Bacterial small subunit ribosomal RNA", at positions 338 to 795 of the family's 1533-position model. The record is from RNAcentral.
CCUACGGGGGGCAGCAGUGAGGAAUAUUGGUCAAUGGGCGCGAGCCUGAACCAGCCAAGUCGCGUGAGGGAAGACGGUCCUAUGGAUUGUAAACCUCUUUUGUCGGGGAGCAAAAGACGCCACGCGUGGCGUUCCGAGAGUACCCGAAGAAAAAGCAUCGGCUAACUCCGUGCCAGCAGCCGCGAUAAUACGUAGGGAGCAAGCGUUAUCCGGAUUUACUGGGUGUAAAGGGCGUGUAGGCGGGCAUGCAAGCCAGAAGUGAAAUCUGGGGGCUUAACCCCCAAACUGCUUUUGGAACUGCGUGUCUUGAGCGAUGGAGAGGCAGGCGGAAUUCCCAGUGUAGCGGUGAAAUGCGUAAAUAUAUGUAAGAACACCAGUGGCGAAGGCGGCUUGCUGGGUCGAUACUGACAUUGAGGCACGAAAGCGUGGGGAGCAAACAGGAUUAGAUACCCCAGUAGUC